This 433-nucleotide ribosomal RNA is filed under the name uncultured bacterium. RNAcentral describes it as "partial 16S ribosomal RNA". It matches the Rfam family "Bacterial small subunit ribosomal RNA", at positions 29 to 507 of the family's 1533-position model. The record is from RNAcentral.
AACGAACGCUGGCGGCAUGCCUAACACAUGCAAGUCGAACGAGACCUUCGGGUCUAGUGGCGCACGGGUGCGUAACGCGUGGGAACCUGCCCUUAGGUUCGGAAUAACUCCCCGAAAGGGGUGCUAAUACCGGAUAAUGUCUUCGGACCAAAGAUUUAUCGCCUUUGGAUGGGCCCGCGUUGGAUUAGCUAGUUGGUAGGGUAAAAGCCUACCAAGGCGACGAUCCAUAGCUGGUCUGAGAGGAUGAUCAGCCACACUGGGACUGAGACGCGGCCCAGACUCCUACGGGAGGCAGCAGUGGGGAAUAUUGGACAAUGGGCGGAAGCCUGAUCCAGCAAGGCCGCGUGAGUGAUGAAGGCCUUAGGGUUGUAAAGCUCUUUUACCCGGGAUGAUAAUGACAGUACCGGGAGAAUAAGCUCCGGCUAACUCCGUG